AGCUCCAAUAGCGUAUAUUAAAGUUGUUGCAGUUAAAACGCUCGUAGUCGGAUUUCGGGGCGGGCCGACCGGUCUGCCGAUGGGUAUGCACUGGCCGGCGCGUCCUUCCACCCGGAGACCGCGCCUACUCUUAACUGAGCGGGCGCGGGAGACGGGUCUUUUACUUUGAAAAAAUCAGAGUGUUUCAAGCAGGCAGUCGCUCUUGCAUGGAUUAGCAUGGGAUAAUGAAAUAGGACUCUGGUGCUAUUUUGUUGGUUUCGAACACCGGAGUAAUGAUUAACAGGGACAGUCAGGGGCACUUGUAUUCCGCCGAGAGAGGUGAAAUUCUCAGACCAGCGGAAGACGAACCACUGCGAAAGCAUUUGCCAGGGAUGUUU
This 377-nucleotide ribosomal RNA is filed under the name uncultured eukaryote. RNAcentral's name for it is "SSU rRNA". It matches the Rfam family "Eukaryotic small subunit ribosomal RNA", at positions 587 to 969 of the family's 1831-position model. The record is from RNAcentral.